Molecule: non-coding RNA, 240 nt
Organism: Cinara cedri
Lineage: Eukaryota; Metazoa; Arthropoda; Insecta; Hemiptera; Aphididae
Source: the annotation of a GenBank genome assembly
GGGGAUUUGUAUUAUCUAAAUUAGUAUGUAGAAAAAAAACAAACCAUUUGAAAAUUUUAAAAAAGAUUGACAUAUUUCGCACGUGGUUACAGCCACUGUUGUAGAUGGGAAGCUGGAAAUGUAAGAUACAGACGGGAAAAUAAUGUAUAUCUGUAAGCAACGGUAAAUCAUUGCUAACGAAAAACGAUUCUGAGCGGAGUUCAGUUGAUAGUAUUGCUUUGUCAACAAUAUAUAUGUUAU